RNAcentral lists this ribosomal RNA (254 nucleotides) under uncultured bacterium. RNAcentral describes it as "partial 16S ribosomal RNA". It matches the Rfam family "Bacterial small subunit ribosomal RNA", at positions 524 to 776 of the family's 1533-position model. The record is from RNAcentral.
UACGGGGGGGGGCAAGCGUUGUUCGGAAUUACUGGGCGUAAAGGGCUCGUAGGCGGCCAACUAAGUCGGAUGUGAAAUCCCCAGGCUCAACCUGGGAACUGCAUCCGAUACUGGAUGGCUUGAAUCCGGGAGAGGGAUGCAGAAUUCCAGGUGUAGCGGUGAAAUGCGUAGAUAUCUGGAGGAAUACCGGUGGCGAAGGCGGCAUCCUGGACCGACGUUGACGCUGAGGAGCGAAAGCUAGGGGAGCAAACGGG